This 28-nucleotide small RNA is filed under the name Bombyx mori (domestic silkworm). RNAcentral's name for it is "ovarian small RNA-653". Lineage: Eukaryota; Metazoa; Arthropoda; Insecta; Lepidoptera; Bombycidae. The record is from RNAcentral.
CACAAUCCAGGGUACAACUGCGGAAUUG